ACGGAAGGCAGCAGUGGGGAAUAUUGCACAAUGGGGGAAACCCUGAUGCAGCGACGCCGCGUGAGUGAAGAAGUUAUUCGUAAUGUAAAGCUCUAUCAGCAGGGAAGAAAAUGACGGUACCUGACUAAGAAGCCCCGGCUAACUACGUGCCAGCAGCCGCGGUAAUACGUAGGGGGCAAGCGUUAUCCGGAUUUACUGGGUGUAAAGGGAGCGUAGACGGUCUGGCAAGUCUGAUGUGAAAGGCAGGGGCUCAACUCCUGGACUGCAUUGGAAACUGUCAGUCUUGAGUGUCGGAGAGGUAAGCGGAAUUCCUAGUGUAGCGGUGAAAUGUGUAGAUAUUAGGAGGAACACCAGUGGCGAAGGCGGCUUACUGGACGAUAACUGACGUUGAGGCUCGAAAGCGUGGGGAGCAAACAGGAUUAGAUACCCUGGUA
RNAcentral lists this ribosomal RNA (434 nucleotides) under uncultured Lachnospiraceae bacterium. RNAcentral describes it as "partial 16S ribosomal RNA". It matches the Rfam family "Bacterial small subunit ribosomal RNA", at positions 341 to 792 of the family's 1533-position model. The record is from RNAcentral. Lineage: Bacteria; Bacillati; Bacillota; Clostridia; Lachnospirales; Lachnospiraceae.